This 727-nucleotide ribosomal RNA is filed under the name Isoptericola sp. RNAcentral describes it as "bacterial SSU rRNA". It matches the Rfam family "Bacterial small subunit ribosomal RNA", at positions 56 to 799 of the family's 1533-position model. Lineage: Bacteria; Bacillati; Actinomycetota; Actinomycetes; Micrococcales; Promicromonosporaceae. The record is from RNAcentral.
UGCAAGUCGACGGUGAACCCAGCUUGCUGGGUGGAUCAGUGGCGAACGGGUGAGUAACACGUGAGCAACCUGCCCUCCACUUCGGGAUAAGCCUUGGAAACGGGGUCUAAUACCGGAUAUGAGCAUCCAUCGCAUGGUGGGUGUUGGAAAGUUUUUCGGUGGGGGAUGGGCUCGCGGCCUAUCAGCUUGUUGGUGGGGUGAUGGCCUACCAAGGCGUCGACGGGUAGCCGGCCUGAGAGGGCGACCGGCCACACUGGGACUGAGACACGGCCCAGACUCCUACGGGAGGCAGCAGUGGGGAAUAUUGCACAAUGGGCGCAAGCCUGAUGCAGCGACGCCGCGUGAGGGAUGACGGCCUUCGGGUUGUAAACCUCUUUCAGCAGGGAAGAAGCGCAAGUGACGGUACCUGCAGAAGAAGCGCCGGCUAACUACGUGCCAGCAGCCGCGGUAAUACGUAGGGCGCAAGCGUUGUCCGGAAUUAUUGGGCGUAAAGAGCUCGUAGGCGGUCUGUCGCGUCUGGUGUGAAAUCCCGAGGCUCAACCUCGGGCUUGCAUCGGGUACGGGCAGACUAGAGUGCGGUAGGGGAGACUGGAAUUCCUGGUGUAGCGGUGGAAUGCGCAGAUAUCAGGAGGAACACCGAUGGCGAAGGCAGGUCUCUGGGCCGCAACUGACGCUGAGGAGCGAAAGCAUGGGGAGCGAACAGGAUUAGAUACCCUGGUAGUCCAUG